UAUAAUACAUUAUUAUAUAAUUAUUAAUAUAUUUAUAAAUAUAGAAUGCUACUUUUUCUCAUUUAUAAUAUAUUCUAAAUUUAAUUAAAUAUUUUAAAUAUAUUUAGUUUUUCAUAUAAGAUAUUAAUUAAAUAAAAUUAGAUUGUUAUAUGUUUUUAAUAAUUUGAUGAGUCAUACAUAAUAAUUUGACAUUGAAAAUAUAAAAUUAAUAAUUGGAUAAAAUUUAAGAUAAAUUAAAUUUAAAUUAAAUUAAAUUUUAUUAAAAUGUAAAUAAAAAAUUAAUUUAUUGUAUUUUAAGAAAAAAAAAUUAUUGUGUUCCUACAGUGAUAG
RNAcentral lists this long non-coding RNA (330 nucleotides) under Ananas comosus (pineapple). Its description in RNAcentral is "long non-coding RNA (ACOM_LNC012427)". Lineage: Eukaryota; Viridiplantae; Streptophyta; Magnoliopsida; Poales; Bromeliaceae. The record is from RNAcentral.